RNAcentral lists this ribosomal RNA (330 nucleotides) under uncultured bacterium. RNAcentral's name for it is "bacterial SSU rRNA". It matches the Rfam family "Bacterial small subunit ribosomal RNA", at positions 568 to 898 of the family's 1533-position model. The record is from RNAcentral.
UCAGUAGGCGGUGCGGCAAGUCGGGAGUGAAAUCUCUGGGCUUAACCCAGAGGCUGCUUCCGAAACUGCUGUGCUCGAGUGUGGGAGAGGCGCGUGGAAUUGCGGGUGUAGCGGUGAAAUGCGUAGAUAUCUGCAGGAACACCCGUGGCGAAAGCGGCGCGCUGGACCAUUACUGACGCUGAAUGACGAAAGCUAGGGGAGCAAACAGGAUUAGAUACCCUGGUAGUCCUAGCCCUAAACGAUCAGGACUUGGGGUGUCGCCCGUUCGGGCGUCGUCCCGGAGCUAACGCGUUAAGUCCUGCACCUGGGGAGUACGGUCGCAAGACUGAA